UGCAAGUCGAACGGCAGCACGGGUGCUUGCACCUGGUGGCGAGUGGCGAACGGGUGAGUAAUACAUCGGAACGUACCUUAUCGUGGGGGAUAACGCAGCGAAAGUUGCGCUAAUACCGCAUACGCCCUGAGGGGGAAAGCGGGGGACCGUAAGGCCUCGCGCGAUUAGAGCGGCCGAUGUCUGAUUAGCUUGUUGGUGAGGUAAAAGCUCACCAAGGCGAUGAUCAGUAGCUGGUCUGAGAGGACGAUCAGCCACACUGGGACUGGGACACGGCCCAGACUCCUACGGGAGGCAGCAGUGGGGAAUUUUGGACAAUGGGGGCAACCCUGGUCCAGCAAUGCCGCGUGAGUGAAGAAGGCCUUCGGGUUGUAAAGCUCUUUUGUCAGGGAAGAAACAGCAGCUCUAACACAGUCUGCGGGGGACGGUACCUGAAGAAUAAGCACCGGCUAACUACGUGCCAGCAGCCGCGGUAAUACGUAGGGUGUGAGCGUUAACCGGAAUUACUGGGCGUAAAGCGUGCGCAGGCGGUUAUACAAGACAGGCGUGAAAUCCCCGGGCUUAACCUGGGAAUGGCGUCUGUGACUGUAUAGCUAGAGUGUGUCAGAGGGGGGUGGAAUUCCACGUGUAGCAGUGAAAUGCGUAGAUAUGUGGAGGAACACCAAUGGCGAAGGCAGCCCCCUGGGAUAACACUGACGCUCAU
This 700-nucleotide ribosomal RNA is filed under the name uncultured bacterium. Its description in RNAcentral is "bacterial SSU rRNA". It matches the Rfam family "Bacterial small subunit ribosomal RNA", at positions 56 to 750 of the family's 1533-position model. The record is from RNAcentral.